This 253-nucleotide ribosomal RNA is filed under the name uncultured bacterium. RNAcentral's name for it is "partial 16S ribosomal RNA". It matches the Rfam family "Bacterial small subunit ribosomal RNA", at positions 524 to 776 of the family's 1533-position model. The record is from RNAcentral.
AACGUAGGACGCAAGCGUUAUCCGGAAUUACUGGGCGUAAAGCGCGUGUAGGCGGAUCAUUAAGUCACUGGUGAAAGCACCGGGCUAAACUCGGUGAGGUUCGGUGAGGCUGGUGGUCUGGAGUAUGUCAGAGGGGUGCGGAAUUCCGGGUGUAGUGGUGAAAUGCGUAGAGAUCCGGAGGAACACCAGAGGCGAAGGCGGCACCCUGGGACAAAACUGACGCUGAGACGCGAAAGCAUGGGUAGCGAACGGG